ACCCGUGAUCUCAUCGAGUUCCAACUCGGUUACACCCCAUAUGUCCUCAGACUCUCCGUGCUUUCUGCCUUCUGAAUAAGACGAUUCUGAUUGAUCCCUACCGGGUAUUAUCCAUGAUGCUUUAACCAAAGCGCAAACGAUCAUGCUAGACGCAGUUGUUCGUUUCAAUCCCUCUUUUGCCUGGACCGCCCUUUCGGGUUUUCAAUCCACCGGGA
Molecule: long non-coding RNA, 215 nt
Filed under: Lathyrus oleraceus (garden pea)
Lineage: Eukaryota; Viridiplantae; Streptophyta; Magnoliopsida; Fabales; Fabaceae
Description: Pisum sativum (pea) long non-coding RNA (PSAT_LNC019710)
Source: RNAcentral